GCGGGGAAUGCUGGCGAAAGCUGCGUCCACAGCCCUCCGAAGGCAAAGGUCACACGUUCGAAUCGUGUCGGGUGCGCCA
This 79-nucleotide transfer RNA is filed under the name Phenylobacterium sp. RNAcentral describes it as "tRNA-Arg". Lineage: Bacteria; Pseudomonadati; Pseudomonadota; Alphaproteobacteria; Caulobacterales; Caulobacteraceae. The record is from RNAcentral.